AAGUCGUAACAAGGUUUCCGUAGGUGACCCUGCGGAAGGAUCAUUUACACGUAUCCAAACGUAAAAAAUCCCCCCCGUGAACAUUCAAUCCUGCUCUUGUAACCCGCGUAGUUCGCAAUCUCUGGUAAAUCAUAGCCCCGAAAGUAGUUUUGAUUCAGAGACCUCUGGCUACGUGAGGACAUUGGAACAGUUACAAUCGAGCGGUAGUUUUAGGCAUUGUUUCCCCAAGCAGUUAGUGUCUGAAAGUGUCACUGAUAGACCGUACACUCGGGCAGGAGCUAUGCCAAAGGGUCCCCAUGCCCCCUUAACAAUGGAUAUCUUGGUUCUC
RNAcentral lists this unclassified non-coding RNA (328 nucleotides) under fungal sp. Its description in RNAcentral is "partial internal transcribed spacer region". The stretch from base 1 to 46 matches the Rfam family "Eukaryotic small subunit ribosomal RNA", at positions 1786 to 1831 of the family's 1831-position model. Lineage: Eukaryota; Fungi. The record is from RNAcentral.